CAGCCGCCGCGGUAAUACGUAGGGUGCAAGCGUUAAUCGGAAUUACUGGGCGUAAAGCGUGCGCAGGCGGUUAUAUAAGACAGAUGUGAAAUCCCCGGGCUUAACCUGGGGGCUGCAUUUGAUACUGGUUGGCUUGAGUUCGGAAGAGGGUUGUGGAAUUCCCAGUGUAGAGGUGAAAUUCGUAGAUAUUGGGAAGAACACCGGUGGCGAAGGCGGCAACCUGGUCCGAUACUGACGCUGAGGCGCGAAAGCGUGGGGAGCAAACAGGAUUAGAUACCCCAGUAGUCCCUGUCUCUUAUAC
This 301-nucleotide ribosomal RNA is filed under the name uncultured bacterium. RNAcentral's name for it is "partial 16S ribosomal RNA". It matches the Rfam family "Bacterial small subunit ribosomal RNA", at positions 509 to 807 of the family's 1533-position model. The record is from RNAcentral.